Molecule: long non-coding RNA, 504 nt
Organism: Thamnophis elegans (Western terrestrial garter snake)
Lineage: Eukaryota; Metazoa; Chordata; Lepidosauria; Squamata; Natricidae
Exons: 3
Source: RefSeq, a predicted model, not a curated record
AAGAGAGAGAGAGAGAGGGAGGGAGGGAGGGAGGGAGGGAGGGAGAGAGAGAGAGAACACUUCCUGGUUUUAAACAUGGUCUAAUUAACCCUCUUGAAACGUGGCUUCUAAACUCUUGUUUUAACUUCUUCCUAUCUCUGAUGACGUUCCACUCCAAAAAAACAAAGGGCUUCCUCUUUCAAAAUGACUGUAUUUUCAUUUCUUGGUAGAGGAACCUGUGGCUUGCCCCUGUUUCUGUGCUACAACUUCUGGCAACCAUCAGCCAUGCUGGCAACAGAACUUCUCGGCUGUGUGUGACUUUGUGAGAAAAUGCCAUGCUUCCAUCACUUCCACCAUGAGAGAAAAAUCAGUUUGAAACCAGGAAAGAAAGCUGGCUUACUGAUAUGUUCCAGUCUCUGCUAGAGAGAAGCUGCCUGAAGAUGGGUUACAGCAUGAGCCUGACCCCUCGGGGGAGGGCCUUCUCUGUGGCUGCUCCGGCCCCCUGGAACAAUCUCCCCGUGGAGA